AUGCUCGGAAUCGUUGUACACUGCGGUUCUGGGCGCGCCGUCCGCGCCCACCUGACAGCUGCUCGCUACGUUUUGUUAGCC
RNAcentral lists this small RNA (81 nucleotides) under Xanthomonas oryzae. RNAcentral's name for it is "sX9". It matches the Rfam family "Xanthomonas sRNA sX9". RNAcentral also lists the same sequence under 1 other name. Lineage: Bacteria; Pseudomonadati; Pseudomonadota; Gammaproteobacteria; Lysobacterales; Lysobacteraceae. The record is from RNAcentral.